This 305-nucleotide ribosomal RNA is filed under the name uncultured bacterium. Its description in RNAcentral is "bacterial SSU rRNA". It matches the Rfam family "Bacterial small subunit ribosomal RNA", at positions 334 to 653 of the family's 1533-position model. The record is from RNAcentral.
UGGUCCUACGGGGCGCAGCAGUGGGGAAUAUUGGGCAAUGGGCGCAAGCCUGACCCAGCAACGCCGCGUGAAGGAAGAAGGCUUUCGGGUUGUAAACUUCUUUUCUCGGGGACGAAGCAAGUGACGGUACCCGAGGAAUAAGCCACGGCUAACUACGUGCCAGCAGCCGCGGUAAUACGUAGGUGGCAAGCGUUAUCCGGAUUUACUGGGUGUAAAGGGCGUGUAGGCGGGGACGCAAGUCAGAUGUGAAAACCACGGGCUCAACCUGUGGCCUGCAUUUGAGACUGUGUUUCUUGAGUACUGGG